This is a long non-coding RNA of Columba livia (rock pigeon), 3079 nucleotides long. RefSeq lists it as uncharacterized. The transcript has 4 exons. The record is from RefSeq and is a predicted model, not a curated record. NCBI's taxonomy places the organism in Eukaryota, Metazoa, Chordata, Aves, Columbiformes, Columbidae.
GCAUAGACAAAGCAGCUGGUUCAUCAAAUCGUCUGACUGCAAGAAUUAUAAUCUGUAGCUCAGCCUGGAUUAGAUGAAGUGUUGGCUGACUAGUGGAGCUGCUCAGAGAAGACGGCUGACAUAAAAGCAGUUUAUGCCAUGGUACACUGUUAUGGUUCAAAAAGAUUUCUUUUUGAGGAUUCACAAUCCUUUCCCCAAGUGACCUACACUUUGUCCACUGUGCCAGGACCAGCUCUUAAAGGUUGUCUAGAUGCCUUAAAGAUUCUUUGUGGAGCAUGUGAUAUUUUGAAAAUGGAGUAUAAAGCAUCUAUUAAUGUUGCACAGAAUUAGCUCGGGAAGCAGCUUUACAUUUAUUGACUUUUGGUAUCGUUUUUAAUUUGCAUCUUGCUGCUUGAUGACUCCGCUUGAUGGGUACAGUAUGACAACAGGUAAUAGAUACAAUAACAGUAAAACAGUCAUCAUUACUGCUGGGACUAGAAACCCCCAUCAUUGCUUUUCUUAGCUUUCCUCAGCUGGAAAGUUUUGACAUCUGCUGGUUUGGGACAUAGCUGAACAGCUGUCAGCAGUGGGGUAGCUGCUUUCAGCAGCAGUUGGCGGGAUGGCAGGGUGCCAGCUUGUACCAUCUGUGCGCCUGACAUUUCAUUCUAAUUAACAGUAGGGUUAAUUGUUCUGGCAGGCUCAAAUGUAGUGUCUAACAUUACCCAAGGGAAACAUGUACAAGCGCAGGAGUGGCAGGGAGCUGGGGACAGCGUUGCUAACAAACCUAUUGAGGGAGAAUGGUUAACAACUACUGAUGAUUUUACUAGCUGGCCACAUGCAAUAAGGCUGAGACAUUUUUUUAUUCUGAUGAAUUAUGCCAAGCCUGUAAUGAUGUAGAAGAAAUCAAGCUUUGAAAGGCUGAGACUGCUGCCUUGGGGCAAUUGAGAAGGAACAAUUUGCAUGUUAUUACUGCAUAUUCAUACCUAAUUGUGUUAGGCUUUGCUAAUAGAGCAGAAUGACAGUAUGAAAAAUCGAGCAACUGCUUUAUAGCCAACAAAGCUAGUGUUUUUUCCCUACACUAUGAGUGCUGAAUGAUCAUUUAGACAUUUAGUUGUUCAAUAUGACAAGUCUACCAUUUGUUAGCUUGACAUAUAGUAAUUUAUAAAGGAGUAUUCUAAUUUUACUUUUAGUUUAUUCUCAUUUUAUACAGUAUUCGUGGUAGCAAUUUGAAUAGGGAUAUUCGUAGCUAUUGUGAGUAGUUGUGAUUCAAAUAAAACUAUUUCGUAUGAAAGAUUUCUAUUGUUUUAUGAUGUAUUAAUUUUAAUGUUUAAAUAGCUUUUUCAGAUGUUAAUAUAACAUAAACGAGAAUUUGAUGAGAAAUCUCUAUUACGAUCAUGUUGCUACAUACUGAUUCAGCUAACAUUUUUACAUUCCAACUAAGGCCUCUAUUUCUAGAGAGGUAGGUGUGUGCAGGUUGGUUUUAGAAGUUGUCAAGUAAUACUAUACUAGGUCUAUAGAUUCUAAAUUCAAAAAUAGAUAUAUACUCAAUGUAGGCUCAGCACGUAGGUGUAAAUAUCUCAAAACAUUAAAUAUAAUGUAUUUUUGUCAUAUGUAUUUAUACAACUGUACAAAAAUAGACCUGCCUCUUCAGGAGAAUUGCAUCUCAGUUUUACUGUAAGUCAUUAAUAGUUUACUCUUCCAAAAUUUUAGAAUCUCAUUUGUUAUUCCCUUUUUUCAUACUCUUCCAUAGACAUGACUACUACUCCAGAAAACAUUACCAUAGAUCACAUACACGAAAAUCUUAGUGGUCUCUGAAAAUCUUGACAUUAACUAGUUUAACUUUUAAAAGUACUGAAAAAGUUGAGAGUGAUAACAGACAUGAUAGAAAACUCAUGAAGGAGAGCCAGAAACAAGAUUUUUCAAUAGCUCUUAAGUCAUUUUGGAGUCAUUUUUGAACAUGUAGCAUGCCUAAAUUACACAGUAAACUGAUAGUAAACUUUUCUCAGAGGGAAGUGCUCCUAAUUCAUGAGUGUAUUGGUUAAUCUCAGAAAGAGUAGAUGAGAUUGUCAACACUUGGACACAGCAGAGGGAAGCAGAAGAAUCUGAGGUGGAUUUUCAGUUGUUUGUGUACUUUCUUGGUGUAAAAUUAAAAGAAAAUUGUAAUACGCUGAGUGAAACUUGAGAUUCCAAACUUCUUUUUAUUACUUGGUAAUUGUUGACUGAUGUAUGAAUCUGAUUAAACAAAUGCAACACUUUCUUCAUGGAGGAACAUUGAAGUAUUUCUAUUUGAUUUUGCUUGUAGUCAGUAGAAACAUUUGUGUUCAAAAAAAAUUACUUGAAUAAAUAAGUUAUUCCAACAAUAUUUAUUUUUGUGACUAGUACUGAUAUGUUUCAUGCAAGAUAUUUAAAUACUGCAAUCUGUGCAACUGAACAUAGUCUUCCAGUAGAUCAUGACAUAAUUGAAAUGCCUGCAAUAUGGAUUAUUUACAUAUAUAUAUAUAUAUAUUUGUGAGGGGAUUCUGAUUUGCCAAGAAAUGAGAUGAAAAUUUGAAGUCUGGUGUUGAGCCUCUGAUGUUACAAUUGCAGCAAGGGACAAUGUGACUAUUAUAGCAGGAGUGACUUUAACAAAGUCUCUUGUGAAAAAGGCAUCUCACUGGAUAGAUUUAUAAUUUUUACCUCUUAAAUAAACCAAAUGAACUUAAUGCUUUACUUCCUUUCAGAAACAAACAAACAAAAAAAACCAAACCCAACUGAUUAUAUUUACCUGGAUAAUACAAAGAAUGUCAUUGAAUAUAUAUGAACAUCUUUAACAAAUCAAUAUUCUGAAAAUGACUAGAGCUAAUGUAAUUUAUUAUGCAUGGAAGAAGAUGCUAAAUAUAUUGGCCUUCAGCAGAAAAUAAUAAAAUGGUUUGAUUAGGUUUAAUUUAAUUAUUGUUGUAACUGAAAAUCCUCUAUUCCUGCCUUCUCUGUCCUUCAAAUAAUUCCUCAUGGAAGAAAAGCAGUAAAAAAUUCACUUACCAUAUUGUAAGGAGGUGUGUCACUCAAAACGAUUAUGAGGUCUUGUCCACUCAUUUCCUUGACCCCUUCCCUUUCCCCUUCC